GAUGAACGCUGGCGGCGUGCCUAAUACAUGCAAGUCGAGCGAACAGACGAAGAGCUUGCUCCUCUGACGUUAGCGGCGGACGGGUGAGUAACACGUGGAUAACCUACCUAUAAGACUGGGAUAACUUCGGGAAACCGGAGCUAAUACCGGAUAAUAUAUUGAACCGCAUGGUUCAAUAGUGAAAGACGGUUUUGCUGUCACUUAUAGAUGGAUCCGCGCCGCAUUAGCUAGUUGGUAAGGUAACGGCUUACCAAGGCAACGAUGCAUAGCCGACCUGAGAGGGUGAUCGGCCACACUGGAACUGAGACACGGUCCAGACUCCUACGGGAGGCAGCAGUAGGGAAUCUUCCGCAAUGGGCGAAAGCCUGACGGAGCAACGCCGCGUGAGUGAUGAAGGUCUUCGGAUCGUAAAACUCUGUUAUUAGGGAAGAACAAAUGUGUAAGUAACUAUGCACGUCUUGACGGUACCUAAUCAGAAAGCCACGGCUAACUACGUG
Molecule: ribosomal RNA, 497 nt
Filed under: uncultured bacterium
Lineage: Bacteria
Description: partial 16S ribosomal RNA
Rfam family: Bacterial small subunit ribosomal RNA
Source: RNAcentral